AUACGUAGGUGACAAGCGUUAUCAGGAUUUUCUGGGCGUAAAGGGCGUGUAGGCGGGGCUGCAAGUCAGAAAUGAAAUUUCUGCGCUCAACUCGGGGGCUGCGUCUGAAACUGCAGGACUUGUGUGCUGGAGGGGGUAGCGGGAUUCCUAGUGGGGCGGGAAAAUGCGCAGAUAUUAGGAGGAAUACCAGUGGCGAAGGCGACUCUCUGGACUGAUACUGACGCUGAGGCACGAAAGCGUGGGGAGCAAACAGGAUUAGAUACCCUGGUAGUCCACGCUAUAAACGAUGAGUGCUAGGUGUCGGGGGUCAAACCUCGGUGCCGCAGUUAACACAUUAAGCACUCCGCCUGGGGAGUACGGCCGCAAGGCUGAAACUCAAAUGAAUUGGCGGGG
This 393-nucleotide ribosomal RNA is filed under the name uncultured bacterium. RNAcentral's name for it is "partial 16S ribosomal RNA". It matches the Rfam family "Bacterial small subunit ribosomal RNA", at positions 523 to 918 of the family's 1533-position model. The record is from RNAcentral.